AUUUUUUUAUGAAUUUUUGGAAUGUUAAAAAUCCCCAUUGGUUUAUAAUGGGACACAUUUCAAAGUGCUAUAACUUGAAAACAGUUGAAGAUAUUGAUAUAAUUUCUGUUGGUAAUAGACAGGAAGUCACAUUUGGGCUUUCAUUUGAUAUUUUGACCUUUGACCUU
Molecule: long non-coding RNA, 167 nt
Organism: Sphaeramia orbicularis (orbiculate cardinalfish)
Lineage: Eukaryota; Metazoa; Chordata; Actinopteri; Kurtiformes; Apogonidae
Exons: 3
Source: RefSeq, a predicted model, not a curated record